UGGCUCAGAUGGUAAAGCAUCUGCCUACAAUGCAGGAGACUAGGGUUCAAUCCCUG
Ovis aries (sheep) is the source of this 56-nucleotide transfer RNA. It matches the Rfam family "tRNA", at positions 8 to 63 of the family's 71-position model. From Rfam's summary of the family: Transfer RNA (tRNA) molecules are approximately 80 nucleotides in length. Their secondary structure includes four short double-helical elements and three loops (D, anti-codon, and T loops). The record is from Rfam. Lineage: Eukaryota; Metazoa; Chordata; Mammalia; Artiodactyla; Bovidae.